UCUCCGUAGGUGAACCUGCGGAGGGAUCAUUACAGAGUUCAUGCCCUACCGGGUAGAUCUCCCACCCUAUGUUAUUAUUACUUUGUUGCUUUGGCGGGCCGUUAGGCUCCGGCCCGACUACCGGCCCCGGCUGGUAAGCGCCCGCCAGAGGACCCAAAACCCUGAAUAUUAGUGUCGUCUGAGUACUAUAUAAUAGUUAAAACUCUCAACAACGGAUCUCUUGGUUCUG
RNAcentral lists this unclassified non-coding RNA (229 nucleotides) under plant metagenome. RNAcentral's name for it is "partial contains small subunit ribosomal RNA, internal transcribed spacer 1, and 5.8S ribosomal RNA". The record is from RNAcentral.